Molecule: transfer RNA, 93 nt
Filed under: Streptomyces viridosporus T7A
Lineage: Bacteria; Bacillati; Actinomycetota; Actinomycetes; Kitasatosporales; Streptomycetaceae
Description: tRNA-OTHER
Source: RNAcentral
GGAGGAUUGGCCGAGGGGUAGGGCACCGGCUUGGCCCAAGCCGUGGUCGGGUCCGGAAGACCCGCGCACGUUCGAUCCGUGCAUCCUCCGCCG